Molecule: ribosomal RNA, 449 nt
Filed under: uncultured bacterium
Lineage: Bacteria
Description: partial 16S ribosomal RNA
Rfam family: Bacterial small subunit ribosomal RNA
Source: RNAcentral
AACGAACGCUGGCGGCAGGCCUAACACAUGCAAGUCGAACGGGAUCUUCGGAUCUAGUGGCGGACGGGUGAGUAACGCGUGGGAACGUGCCCUUUGGUUCGGAAUAGCCCCGGGAAACUGGGAGUAAUACCGGAUAAGCCCUACGGGGGAAAGAUUUAUCGCCAAAGGAUCGGCCCGCGUUGGAUUAGGUAGUUGGGGAGGUAAUGGCUCACCAAGCCGACGAUCCAUAGCUGGUUUGAGAGGAUGAUCAGCUACACUGGGACUGAGACACGGCCCAGACUCCUACGGGAGGCAGGAGUGGGGAAUCUUAGACAACGGGGGAAACCCUGAUCUAGCCAUGCCGCGUGAUCGAUGAAGGCCUUAGGGUUGUAAAGAUCUUUCAGUGGGGAAGAUAAUGACUGUACCCACAGAAGAAGCCCCGGCUAACUCCGUGCCAGCCGCCGCCGUAA